Molecule: ribosomal RNA, 253 nt
Filed under: uncultured bacterium
Lineage: Bacteria
Description: partial 16S ribosomal RNA
Rfam family: Bacterial small subunit ribosomal RNA
Source: RNAcentral
GACAGAGGGUGCAAACGUUGUUCGGAAUUACUGGGCGUAAAGCGCGUGUAGGCGGCUAAGUAAGUCGGGCGUGAAAUCCCACGGCUCAACCGUGGAAGUGCACUCGAAACUGCAUAGCUAGAGUCCUGGAGAGGAAGGUGGAAUGCUUGGUGUAGAGGUGAAAUUCGUAGAUAUCAAGCGGAACACCGGUGGCGAAGGCGGCUUCCUGGUCUGCGACUGACGCUGUGGCGCGAAAGCUAGGGGAGCAAACGGG